AUGGCGAAAUGCUGGCUGCUGCUCCACUUGUUGGCGUUUCUCUUGCCAGCGGCGAGCGCUACGUCAUGCCACACCGACGACCUCCACGCGCUGCAGGGCUUCGCCGGGAACCUGGGUGGUGGUGGCGUGCUCCUACGUGCCGUCUGGUCCGGCGCCUCGUGCUGUGGCUGGGAAGGUGUGAGCUGCGACGGCACAAGUGGACGCGUCACGGCGCUUCGGCUCCCUGGGCACGGACUUGCGGGGCCUAUCUCUGGAGCAUCCUUGGCGGGCCUCACGCAGCUGGUGGAGCUCAACCUUGCCAACAACAAACUGAUCGGAACCAUCUCAUCAUGGAUUGGUGAGCUUGAUCACCUUCGCUACUUGGAUCUCUCUAAUAAUUUAUUGGUUGACGAGGUACCCAAGAGAUUGAUACAGCUCAAGGGCCUUGCCUCCACUGGUCGUUCACUGGGUAACAGAAGAACACUCCAACAACAACAACCAAAUAUCAUAUCCGGGACAAACAACAAAGUCCGAUCUGGUAGAACCAAUGUUGUAUCCGGAAACGACAACACUGUCAUAUCCGGGAACAACAACACGGUGGCUGGGAGCAACAAUACCAUCACAACCGGGAGCGACAAUACCGUAACCGGUAGCAACCAUGUCGUAUCUGGGAGCAAACAUAUCGUAACUGACAACAACAAUGUUGUUUCCGGGAUUGACAAUAAUGUAUCCGGGAGCUUCCACACCGUAUCCGGGAGUCACAAUACCGUAUCCGGGAGCAACAAUACCGUAUCUGGGAGCAACCAUGUCGUGUCUGGGAGCAAUAAAGUCGUGACAGGAGGUUAA
RNAcentral lists this ribosomal RNA (825 nucleotides) under Triticum aestivum (bread wheat). Its description in RNAcentral is "partial small subunit ribosomal RNA". The record is from RNAcentral. Lineage: Eukaryota; Viridiplantae; Streptophyta; Magnoliopsida; Poales; Poaceae.